Molecule: long non-coding RNA, 289 nt
Filed under: Medicago truncatula (barrel medic)
Lineage: Eukaryota; Viridiplantae; Streptophyta; Magnoliopsida; Fabales; Fabaceae
Description: long non-coding RNA (MTRU_LNC000645)
Source: RNAcentral
AACUAGAUUAUUUUGUUAAGGAAAUUUUAUCUUCCUCAUCACUUUUGAAAACAUUAUCUUCCAUGUUGCUCAUGAAAACAUUAUCUUCCUUGUCAUUUUUAGAAACUGCAUCUUCUCCAUCAAUUUUGGAAACUUGAUCUCCCUCAUCAUUUUUGGAAACUUUAUCUUCUUCAUUACUCUUGGAAACUCCAUCUUCUUCACCACUUUUGGAAGCUUUAUAUUCCCUAUCACUUAAGGAAACGUUAUCUUCUUCGUCAAUUUCCGAAAAUUUAUUUCCCUCAUCACAUAA